AAAUCGCAAUGGGUAGAGCGCGUUGGACUUCCUAUCCAAAGGUCGUGGGUUCGAAUUCCACCAGGGAUG
This is a non-coding RNA of Trichonephila clavipes, 69 nucleotides long. Lineage: Eukaryota; Metazoa; Arthropoda; Arachnida; Araneae; Nephilidae. The record is from the annotation of a GenBank genome assembly.